Molecule: ribosomal RNA, 255 nt
Filed under: uncultured bacterium
Lineage: Bacteria
Description: partial 16S ribosomal RNA
Rfam family: Bacterial small subunit ribosomal RNA
Source: RNAcentral
UACGUAGGGUGCAAGCGUUAAUCGGAAUUACUGGGCGUAAAGCGUGCGCAGGCGGUUUGGUAAGACAGAUGUGAAAUCCCCGGGCUUAACCUGGGAACUGCAUUUGUGACUGCCCGGCUAGAGUGUGUCAGAGGGGGGGUAGAAUUCCACGGUGUAGCAGUGAAAUGCGUAGAUAUGUGGAGGAAUACCGGUGGCGAAGGCGGCAUCCUGGACCAUAACUGACGCUGAGGCGCGAAAGCUAGGGGAGCAAACGGG